GAAUGAAACAAAGAGCCCCCAAUUGAUGGGUGCCCCAAAAUUUCCAUUUGAGGCACCCAUCCGAAGCAAACAAGCCCUUUCUCAGAUGUUCUGUCAACAAAACCUAAAGGCAGAAAAUCAUCGACUUGGUCACUGUUAUCUGAAUUGGGUUUUAUGAGUCCCCAAAUAAAUGGCAAAUCCGAAAACUCCAACCCAUGAGCUAUCUCAUGAAAUUGUUCUUUGUUCAGCUUACACUCACCCCCAAGGUGUGUUCUGGAAUGUACAAACACCACUGACCUAGGUUUUUGCUUGUCAAGACAAUGAAACAUCGACACAUUGGAGUUUAUUUCCCCUUUUGCCCUUUUCCUAGCUUGAUCUGGAGGAAGUACACCAGUGGGAACCACUGGCUUUCCACUGAUUUUCUUGUACACUUCCUAGUAGUCUCCUUCAAUCUCAUUACAAGUACGAAGUGCCAAAGCUUGACUUGCUGAUUAUCUUGGCAAGCCUAGAAGCUCCACUUAUCCCAGUACUAUCUGCACCCCAAAACCCUCGAGGCACAUAAAUUGCUUCAUACUCCUUGAACGCCACCAAAGAAGGAAAGGCGAUCCAGUCUGGUGGAGAUGUCAAGCUUUUUGGUGAUGGAAGAACAUAGUUUCUGUUCACACCAGAGAGAUUUUCAGGGGGGCCAAAGAAUACACUGCUAGCCGCGGAGAAAGCAGAGAAGUAGACUAAUGGAACGACAUACUCUUUAGCAAUGUCGACCACCCAAUGAGCAGCGAAAUCGAGUACUAUCCAAUCCGGCAUUUGAUAUGCAAUGAACUGUUUGAUGGGUGUUUGAAGAAGAUCGUAUGCGAUCAUUAAGUUGUCGAUUUUUUCAGAGGGUACGUCCACACUGGCCUCUGCUCCUUCCGGCGGAAGUCGGGAUCCAAAGGAGGAAAUGGAAUGGGGACCAAGUGUAUUAAAGGUUGUAAAUCAGGUGAGAUUUUGGGGAGCCUUUGAAUGUUUCUCUGGUGUGGAUAUGAAAGAGACAUGAACUUUGGCUUUGGCCAAGGCUAUGGAGAGUUGAAAGAAGGGCAUCAAAUGGCCGAAGGCAGACCAUGGAAGCAUCACAACAUGAAGCAGCUCUUUUCCCAUUUUUGAUAUGUCUGGCUAUCUGCAAUUAGUUUGCUCAUGCAAUAACACAAUGAAGGUCCUAGGGAGGGGGGGGGGGGGGGGGGGGGGGNNNNNNNNNNNNNNNNNNNNUUUAGCUAUCCUGAUAACAGGAAGACGUAGUAAUAAAUAAAAGAACAAGUACUGGAAAGUAAAAGAAAUAACACCAGUACGUUUUUUAUUUCGCAGAAACCCUGCACCAGGGAGAAAAACUGCGUGCCCCUAACUCUUGAGGGACAAACAUUUCCACUAUGUAAAACUCACUUCUUACAAGAUUAUAGUCUAGGGAUACAACGACGAUUUGCAAUCCUGCCUAGUCUACCCACUAGUCUAGAUCUAUCUCUCCUGUCUUUGAGUGACUCACCUCACUCCUCACAAGAUUAUAGUCUAGGGAUACAACAACGACUUGCUAUCCUGCCUAGUCUACCUACUAGUCUAGACCUACCUCUCUUGUCUCUCAAGUGUUUACAUAUGAAGGUAUAAGAAGAAGUUUCAACUCAAAACUCAGCUAACGCCUUUAACUGAUUCUUUUAACUGAUUCUUCUUGAACACUUCUCAGAAUACUCAACUCAGAACUCAGCUAACGCCUUUAACUGAUUCUUCUUGAACACUUCUCAGAAUACUCAACUCAGAACUCAGCUAUCCUAAUUAGAGGGAUUCUUCAGACCUCAGCUAACACCUUUAACUGACUCUCUAGAACUCAGCUCUCCUCGAUCAACUGAUCCUUCUUGAGUACUUCUGGGGUUGCUGCACUACCAUCACUCAUGAUAUGCAGAAUGCUAAUGGGUUUAUGAAAAGAGUUUUUGCUCUUGCUCUUGCUCUAAGAUUUACAAUCACCAAGGGAAGACUUAGAGGCAAAUGAGCAAUGCAAGGUAAAACCUAUACCCAGCUAAAACUAUGUAGAAAACUACAUCUUGAACAACCAAAGAGCAAGAAGAGACUUGCUCCAUAUAUAUAGGCAAAGUGCAAGCUAAAGGAGAGCAUGCACGUUUACCAAAAUGGGAGGCAACUUUUGGACUUUAGUCCUUGUCCAAACUCAUAAAGUGAGAGGGCCAAAGGACAAACAAAGGCUCCAAGAGAGUAAAGACAAAACACAACUCUCUUAUAUGAUAAAAGGUUUUGUGAAUGAUGGAGACACAACAAAACCUAUUCCUAUAUGAGGACACAUAGGCCAGCUGAUAGCUUGGGCAGUGCAUCACAUGGCUCAGCAGCUGACUUGGUUUGUGUAUCACAAAACCCAGUUGGCUAAAAAAGGAGCUGCCUAAAAGUGCCUUAGUCAUGUGCUUAUGGGUUGGAAGAACAACACAACCCUAGACUAACUUAGAGCUCAAGCACGAUGAAAAAUGUUUUGCUAAAAGAGAUUUGAAAUUCAAAUACUGAACAGCUAAAGCAAAACCAUUUAAAUCUGCACGAAGUCAGACUCAGAGAUUAGGAUAGAUACAACACGGGUAUCCACCAAAUCUGGAUGGCAAGCAGAGCUGCCAUCCUGAAUGAAUGUGAUGCACAUGCAUGAACUACCUGAUGUAUAUGAGAUAAAAAACAAAUAGCCAGCUAAUAUAUUAGUUUGUGUAUCACAAACCUAGCUGGAGCCUCUAAGCUCUAGUCAUGUGGUCACGGGUUGGAAACACUACACAACCCUAGACUGACUUGAAGCACCAAGGCAACGACAAAUGUUUUGCUAAAGGGGAUUUGAAUUCAAACAGGGGGAAUUCAAACUAAUGAUACACAAAUAGCAAAAGCAUUUAGACAUGCAUACAUAUAGACCCAAUAGAUUAGGACAGAUACACCAGGAGGUAUCAUCCGAUCUAGGAUGACAAGCAAAGCUGCCAUUCUCAGUGAAAAACAUGAGAUGCAUAUGCAUGAACUACCUGAUGCACAUGAGAUCUUGGCAGGUCUUCAUUCUUCACUUGUGAUAUCCUUACCAUCAGGAUAUGUAGAAUUCUCAGUGAAAAGCAUCAGAUGCAUAUGCACCAGUUACCUAGGACACAUGUGAUCUUGUCAAGUCUUCAUUCUUCACUUGUGAUAUCCUUAUCAUCAGGAUAUAUAAAAUAGCUUGUGUCUUGUGUUUUGAUCAUAAAAGGGAUAGCCAACAAUCCUUAUACCAACACACAAUGUAUAUAGGAUGGACGGUAACUAUUUUUGAUGUGCGUUAUUGCAUUAUUUAUCGAGUCACUUCUCCAAGGUACGUAAUUAAAAUGUGAUGGAUUGAAUAUCAAUUCGACAAAUUUAACAAUGCACCAAAUAUCAAUUAACAUUGCAUGAACUGAUAUGCAGGUGAGAUUGUGACUUGUGUGAAUGUUUGAUUUAGUUAACUCCACCGAUAUAAGUAGUAAGUAGUAAAGUGAGCUAGGGACUCUUUGUGUGUUGGUAUCUUUUGCUUCCAACAUAAGUGAUUUGACAAAUCCACGUUGGAAUAUAGUGGAGGACUUCAUGUCGUCAUGAAUGACUAUCAUGAUGUGUGGGUUGGUUCGUUAUCAUGUCAACAAAGUAACCAAAAAAUAUCUGAAUCUCAUCCAAUAAUCUCAACCUUGGGUCUUUUUUCUUCAAAAGAAAAUGGUGCCUUGAGCCUUACUUUUUUCUGCAUCAAUGUGGUAAACUUGGCCUUGAAAUUGUAGUAGUAUCUGACUGACUUUUAUCAGAUCACUAAUCGAAUGACAGAUUUGUUGUUUGAAUAAUGCCAGUUAUGAUAAGAGAUUCUAAUCACUUAUGAAGUCAUUACUGGUUGUGAGAUUUAAUGCCACAUCUAGGCAGAGGAUAACCCAUAACUGUUUGGUGAACAUUCAUAAUCAUAGUUUGGUCACCAAAGACAGAAUUUGGAUAUUUAGAUGGUAAAUUUAGUUAUUUACCUAAAUCUUUCUCUUCCACCAAUUUGAUGCAGCUUGAUGGAGCUUUUGAGGCCCCUUUUUUCAUAUACCUUUCUCGGUAAGAUACCUAUAAUAGAAAGUCCAUCAUCAACUGCAACAAAAUGCAUACAUACAUUUUACUAUGGAAUCUACAUAUGGCUUAGCUCAUAUGAAGGUGUGCAAGAUUUUACAUGCAUAUCACACAGGCAAUACUAAUGUUUAAGAAGUUAGAUCAUGAUGUUAAGGGUUCCGAAAGUGAAGAUUCUACUUGAAUUGAUUACCUCUUUUUCCCGUUAUGAUCAACAGGAAUAAGCUUGUCCACUUUGAGAUCUCUGCUUGUAACAGAUCCCAUAAGCUAAUGUAUGUCCCCUGUCAAAAAAGUCUAGUCUUGACAUACUCAGCUAGAGUGACAAGUUAAGACAUUUACCAUGCCAGAACAUUUUGUCAUUGCAAUGCAGUAAAUGUAUUUGUUAUUUCACAUCUAGCCAGUAGAACAAUAAAGGUUUCUUCACCUCCCACUUACUGAAUGGAUCGGAAGCUUCAAACUUCUUUGUGAUACUCUUUAGUUGAAAUCGAGGACAUCAAUCGUAUUCGCGCAAUGUACAUUUUUCCCUUUCAUACCAUUCUAAUUAGCUACCACAGUCCACAGCAACGACUAAAUCGCUACCUUAACCCUCACUUAACCUAAUCAACUGUGUAAACUGUUGCCAUGAUAGCUACUCAGCUUCCCCUUCUUUAUUUGAACACAUAAAUGAGUGGGGGAGCAUGUUGGCACAUGAGACUAUACUCCUUAAAUCUAUGCUGCAUCAAAAUUAGCUUUCCAUGUUUAUGUUUUUGUAGGAAACUUCAUAUUGGUAUCAGCAAUCCAUCUUCUUCUCAGUUCUUAUUUCUUUGCUCCCCCAUUUCUUUAUGCGCUUCGUCGUUUGCUCCACCUAAAAUACAUAGAAAUCAACAUCGAGUUGAACAUGCAAUAUCAAAAAGGAAAACGUUUGUUAUUUGUAAAUUCUUCUUGCUCUACUUACCUCAGUGUCCCAGUUGGUUCUGGAAGUCAUAAUCAAUAAGAACAAGAUCUGUAGAGCGCUUCCACUUAUUAUGCCACCAUACAGUCCCUAGGUUGUAAUAUCCACAAGCAGAACAAAAUGUCACUACCAAGCAGAGAAAUAGAUUGUAUAUAUGCAUCAUGAUUUGUAAAGGAAAAUAGACAAGUAUUACCAUUGGACCCAAGUUUGCUUUAAAUCCCAGAAAUAUUGCCAAAGGGAGACCAAAUAAAUAAUAAGCAGCGAAAUUUAUAUAAGCUACCAUCACUUGCCAUCCACCUCCAACUGCAACCCCUGCAUAUGCAAAGUAGCCAAGAAUCUGUUACACAUAGAAAACUUGAGCAAAAACACAAAAUGAUCUAAGAGAAGCUAGCGGCACUAAAAUUAGUUACCUGUCAAAACUUCUGCAACACUAUUAAGAAGCAUGGCUGCGCCGAGAAAGUAUGCUAAAUGAGCAACAGCUCGUUGCAUAACUUUGCUGUCUGUGAAAACACUGGCAAUGUGGUCUCCACUUAAGAAGAUAGAUGUCAUAGACACAAUCCCAACAACGAGAGAUAGCAAGACUGCAACACAGAUAGAGUAUUUGGCCGCUCUUGGGUGCCCCAUUCCAAGUUCAUUUGAGACUCGAAUGCUGGAGAAUUACCAAUGUGAUGAUAAAAUAUCAUAGAAGCUCCAGAAAAUUGGAAACAGUUGAUAGUUUAGUAUAGAAACAUAAAAGAAAGUACCUUAUAGCAGUAUUCAGUCCAACCAAAAUCAUGGUUUCCCAACUUUGAAAGUUCAAGCUAAUUAAAAAAGAAAAACAGAAAGAAUUUUAGACUCGUUAUCACAAAUUAUAACACAAUGAAUAUGAAAAAGGGACAAAAUUAAUAGUAAUGCUCUUACCAUAUGGAAAAGGAACCAAGGGCAAUCACUGCAUUCUCAAGUUGACCGGCGAGAAUGUUCAUACUCAUGUGGUACCACCUCUCUAGGCAAAUCAUCAUACAUGAGGCAAGGGACAGCUUAGCAAAUGCCCAAAUGUCUUUGAAUGCUAACCAUGAAAAUCCAUUCCAACCUUCCUUGCACAAAAAUACAGCAUACACAAACUGACCAACUGCAACUUCCCAGAAUGUGAUGUUAUAAGCUACAGCUGCACCAUUGACCCCCAGCCGAGUACACUAAUGAAAAGAUAAAGGAGUCCUGUGUGUGUGACUAGAGCCACAAAGGAGAUCCAUGUAAUGACGCCGACCUUGCUCUGAGCCUGAAGAAACUUCUGGGUGGGCAAAUUGAUGGCAAAGGCGAACAUCUGAGGGAUUAUCAACAGACAAUAGUUUCCAGCAAACUCGGCUAUGCUGUCUUGUUGGCCUAAAAUCUUGAGGAAUGGAGUGGUGAAAAUGUAAAGUGAUGAGAGGAGAAAACAAGUGAUGGUCAGGAUGAUGCAUGAGCGCUGCAUAUAGAUACCAAGUGAGUCAAUUUGGCCUGCACCAUAAGCUUGUCCACAAAGCGUUCCAAGUGCAUUUGCCAUACCUAUCUGCGCUCACAAUAUGCAGGUCAAAACCAUCAGAUGAAAUUUUUAGGCCUCAUGCUAUUAGCACCAUGAAAAGACCUCUCUCUCUUGCAUGAAGAAAGAAAGAUACCAUAAACAUGUUACAUAAAUGUUUGUGUGUCCAAGACGUAUUUCAUAGCUGUGCAUCUAGUAAUCAAUGGAGUAAAUUAUUUUUGCCCCCAUGAAUAUCUUACCCCCAUCAAUGUCAAAUCCUUACAGUUUAUCCAAGUUCAAUUUGUAUUGCUAUUAAGCCUUUCCCUAUCAAAGUCGAUGUUCUGUGACCUCUAGUGACUUCCUAAUGAGCAGUUUCGGCGUUCCAAAAUCAGAAAUGGAUCUUGAGAAUCUUAGGAGCUGACUGUUACAAAAUAAGAAUUUGUACCUUCCGUUUUCGCAAUGAAGAUCAAAAACAUUAGUCAUAUACGUACUAUGUUAGUGAAGGCCAGCUUGUACAUGAUAUUCGACAAAAGAAACUCAAAACAGCUAGUCAUAGUACGUAAGUAUUUUUUAUAGUCAUGUAUCCAUAUGUAACUUAUGUACUUUUUACUCUAGAAAAUGACAGUAAACCUAACAAGGUAUAUCUUAUUAAUUUGGAGUUUUAUACGAGAGAGAAUCUAUAGUCGUAACAUGCAAACAAUAAUGCAUAGAUAAAUAAGUAGUUAAGUAUACAAAUAAAUAACGAGUAUACAAACAAAGCAAUACGAGUCGAUGUCUCAAUGACUGAUAGGAUUUGAUUCCAUAGAGAUGCAAACUAACCAGGAAGCCAAAGGCGAUGGCGUUGAUGACAUUAUGAGCGAGGGAAAUAGCAGAGAGCUCAAGAUCUCCGAGAUGUCCGACGAAGAUGGUGGUGGUGGACUGGAUGAGGAACUGAAAGAGACUCGUAAAAGCCACCGGAGCUGCAACUUUCCACAGCUUCACAGUCUCCUUCCAACAAACCGACACGCCCUCCCCGAAGGUCUUCACCGGAGCAUAGUCGCGUUCCGGCUCCGCCUUGAUGCUCAGCAAGGGAACUCUGCGCGUAUCAUCCAUUUGAAGUUUGGCUAGAAAUGAGUGCUGAGAAAAAGUGGUAGCUUAGCUCACUCCACUAAAGUAGUAAUAAUACAUAGUGAAGUGGAGGUCAGACGUAUUUAUAAAAUCAAAUUAUGAUUACACCGAAACGAAGCAAAAAUCCAGCGAGAAGAGGAAAAACAAAAAAAAAAACAAAAGAUGCCUGUAUCUAUAAUCUCUCAAUCGAAUUAACCCUACCAAUUUUCCAAUCAAUGCAAUGGUGAAAUUUUUUGUAUUUGGUUAAGUAAUGGGUCCGGAGGAAAGCACAAGAUCUGAACUAUUCCAUACAAUAAUCAAACCAAAGCUUCACACCUUCCUGAUCAUCACUUGAGUUUAUUUUAUUUUUUGGUUAGAAACGGGGGAGUACUCUCCAAUCCCAAUUUAUUGAGAAAAAUAGAAAAGAGUUGCAACUUACAACCAAACAGAAAAACAAACAGGGGUCACACAUGAACAUACAUAAAGAUGAUAUCAAUGCCAAGACAGUAUAGACAAGACUUAUAGCUUAACACAUUAAUUCGAAAGUUUAGGAAACCAAGUUUAUCACCCCGAAAAUAAUGAAUGAAGAGAGGAGAAAUGAGAAAGGUCUUCCCACCGCGUCAUGCAAGACAAAUACAAAUCAAUAUUAACAAGAGCAUGACACUUGAUUGAGAAAAGCAAAAAUACAUGUCUGAUAUAUCAAGACGUAUUAUCAAGACGUAAGCUAGGCAUUAUCAAGACGUACCUAGAAAGAAAAGAAUCAUGUAGUAAUAGUUUAUCAUAAUUUAGGUCUCUAGCAAAGAAUGAUCGAAUGGUAUAUCCUUGUUUAACUAAUCCAUCUCUCUUAUAUAUAUUUAACAUCGUUCUCAAUCGAUCAAUACACACAAAUAUUUAUUGACACGUAACUAACAUUCAUUGAUACGCACCUAACUCAAAGAAGAUAUGAUGCAAGCAACUACUCCAACAUGGCCGUCCCUGUGUUAGUCGAGGCCCUAGAUUGUAAAGGUUAAAAAUUAGUUUUCAUGAAAAAUUUUAUUAACCAAUUAAUUGAAAUUCAAGAGUCAAAUUAAACAUUCAUAAUGAAAGGAAGUUAAUCAUUUUUAUGUUAACAAGUUAAUUGAAUGUCAAAUUGAACUCACAAAAAUGGAAAGAAGUAUAUACAAUUGGAGAUAAAAUCUGAUAAUUGAUGUAUAUUUUUUAUUUAUAGUAAAAAACAGCUAAAAAGCAAACCAAUUAAUGAAUUUUUAAUAAAAAUAUUUAUGAAAGUUUCAAAUCUAGAGGCCCUUAUAAUUAUGGGAGGCCCUAGACACCAGCCUAGUUGGUCUUGCCUCAAGGCCGGCCAUGACUCUAAGAAACAAAUAACUGUCAAGAAACAAGAUGAGAAUCACGAAAAUAAUACAGGAUACAAGUCGAGUUCACCUUAAAAGCCAUAUAUGCUUCCAUUCUCUGACCUAGGCUAAGUCAAUAUCUUGACAUGCCAUAUUGCCAUGAACUCUAUCUUGACAGAGCUAGGAAUAUCAAGAUAUUAAUACUGUAUAUCCCUACAACUGAUAUAUGCUAGGUGAUCGAGAUUGAUAGUGAGAAUGACAUUUCUACGAGUACAAUACAGCGAUUGAGAACAAGGAAUCAAAUUCUCUUCCAAGAAGAAUUAACUAACCAAAAUCAUAAACAAUACUCUACCGGAACCAAAGCUUCACUCCUUCCAUUUCCUUCACAAGCUCAUAAACAUAGUACUUGACAAUUCACCAACAAAGAAAAAGAAAAAAAAAAAACAGAGAGAGAGACAAAAAGCUAGAAUAAUGGAAGGACGUUCGAAAUCUAGCAUAAAAUUAGAGCUACUACGUAACUUCAUGCAUGAUGAUCACACCCAUCAGUUUAGGUUGAUCGAUCACCUCUUAUUUUGCAACAUUAUUUUUAAGAUAGUUAACGAAUGCACUAAUGUAGUGAUCAUGUUGCAGCUUGUGAUCUCCAAUAACUGCAGCAGCUUUCCUUGCAUUGCUUCGUAGCUGCUCUCCUUCUUCUUCCACCAUUGCUAGCCUCAGUGAUUUUGCUAUUUCCCCUCUACUAAACGACCCGUCUUCGUUUCGCUUCACUUCGGCAGCCAGACCCUUCUCUACCAGAAGCCUUGCAUUCAAAGGCUGAUCAUACAUGAAGGGUAACACAACAAGGCCAUGCCCAAAUUGCAGAGUCUCAAUCACCGAACCCCAUCCAGAAUGAAACAAAGAGCCCCCAAUUGAUGGGUGCCCCAAAAUUUCCAUUUGGGGCACCCAUCCGAAGCAAACAAGCCCUUUCUCUGAUGUUCUGUCAGUAAAACCUAAAGGCAAAAAAUCAUCCACUUCAUCACUCUCAGUUGAAUUAGGUUUUCUGAGUCCCCAAAUAAAUGGCUGUUCCGAUAGCUCCAGCCCAUGAGCCAUCUCAUGAACUUGUUCUUUGCUUAACCUACACUCACUCCCGAACCCCACAAACACAACUGACCUGGGUUUUUGCUUAUCAAGCCAAUCAAACAU
RNAcentral lists this long non-coding RNA (10057 nucleotides) under Fragaria vesca (wild strawberry). RNAcentral's name for it is "long non-coding RNA (FVES_LNC003554)". Lineage: Eukaryota; Viridiplantae; Streptophyta; Magnoliopsida; Rosales; Rosaceae. The record is from RNAcentral.